Molecule: ribosomal RNA, 497 nt
Filed under: uncultured bacterium
Lineage: Bacteria
Description: partial 16S ribosomal RNA
Rfam family: Bacterial small subunit ribosomal RNA
Source: RNAcentral
GAUGAACGCUGGCGGCGUGCCUAAUACAUGCAAGUCGAGCGAACGGACGAGAAGCUUGCUUCUCUGAUGUUAGCGGCGGACGGGUGAGUAACACGUGGAUAACCUACCUAUAAGACUGGGAUAACUUCGGGAAACCGGAGCUAAUACCGGAUAAUAUUUUGAACCGCAUGAUUCAAAAGUGAAAGACGGUCUUGCUGUCACUUAUAGAUGGAUCCGCGCUGCAUUAGCUAGUUGGUAAGGUAACGGCUUACCAAGGCAACGAUGCAUAGCCGACACGAGAGGGUGAUCGGCCACACUGGAACUGAGACACGGUCCAGACUCCUACGGGAGGCAGCAGUAGGGACUCUUCCGCAAUGGGCGAAAGCCUGACGGAGCAACGCCGCGUGAGUGAUGAAGGUCUUCGGAUCGUAAAACUCUGUUAUUAGGGAAGAACAUAUGUGUAAGUAACUGUGCACAUCUUGACGGUACCUAAUCAGAAAGCCACGGCUAACUACGUG